Xenopus tropicalis (tropical clawed frog) is the source of this 966-nucleotide non-coding RNA. Lineage: Eukaryota; Metazoa; Chordata; Amphibia; Anura; Pipidae. The record is from the annotation of a RefSeq genome assembly.
GGGGGGGGAUAUAAAUGUGAGUGAGUGCAGGCAGGGGCUCAGGGAUCUGUAUCAGCCCUGUGUGCAGUGAUCACUAUGGUGUCCCACAGCUGCUGGCUGCCUCUACUCAUGCUCUGGCUUCCCGGUUCCUAUGGGCAGAUUGUGCUGACUCAGUCCCCAGAUUAUGUCUCUGUGUCACCGGGAGAAACUGUCACCUUCACAUGUAAAGCCAGUAGCAGUGUUGGGAGCAGCCUACACUGGUACCAACAGAAAUCAGGGCAGGCACCAAAGCUGCUGAUCCGUUAUGCAAGUACCCGACACACAGGGACCCCAGAGCGGAUCAGCGGCAGCGGUUCUGGAACUGAUUUCACCCUUACAAUCAGCAGAAUGGAAGCAGAAGAUGCAGCAGAUUAUUACUGUAUGCAGACAUACACUUACCCUUUCACACAGUGAUACAGAGCUGAACAAAAACCUUCCCCUUUAUGAAGAUCUGUGAAUACAAGAAACUGACAGUCAGCGCCUCACUGGCUUCAGUUCCGUUGGGUGCCGGUCCCACCAGUAAAGUGAUGCAAAUGCUCUUCAAGCUGUUGGAACACGGCUGUAUGUCACACUAACUCACAGCUUGGUACUAUUUCGUAAUAUGUAUAAACUGGUUAGUUUUAGUAUGAAAUGUAUUACAUUCUGCAGUCAUAUGUUUAGAUUAAUGUUUAUUAUGAUUUAGUGCCAGCCGGUCUGUUGAGCUAAAAUGGAAGGAAAGAACACAAACCAGUAGCUACAUCCCCCGAAAAGAGCCCGACAGCCCCCCAUCAGCUCCCAUUCACUCACUGAGAAACACUGCUCAGCCCAAGGUUACUCACCAGGGCAUUUUUGGGCUGGAAACAGUCAGUACUGACACUGCCAGGGGUUUGCCAGUUACGGUAACAGGGGGCGGCAGGGGCAGAUCUCAGGCAGUUUCACGUAGAUGAGCCCCCCGUGUGCUAUCAGCCU